CGCCGCAUGCGCAGGGUGCACGCGUAGUUCAGGGCGGCCAUGUUGAAUACAUGCGGUCGUGUGUAUGACUACUUCAAAAAAUGUUCCGGAUUUAUCACGUUUUUCUUGCACACAAGAACCCAUAAAUGUGUCUCUAAGUCCAUGCUACUUUUGACCAAGUUCCUGAGGAUCAUGAAACUGCCUAAAGCAGUCCCAUUUUUGUUGCCUAAGAAGAGAAAACCCGUCUUCCUUUUGGCCUAAAAAUGAAGUCAGCAGGUCCAUGAGGUCUAAUUCUACCUCCAUGCAUGGUGGAUGUAUGAACAUGGAGGAAUGAACUAGAUCGGAGUUGUGUUGGUGCAUCAUUACCAAAGGUGACAAAGAUGAAGUGAAGAAACUGCAGACUUGGAGCCAACCAGCCAAAGAUGCCGUGGUGAUCAUUCUGGACGUGAUGCCGCCCUCGCCAAUUGCAAGUCAUCUCAAGAGGCCGUGUCUGGAGUCGACACUUAGGGAAGAGUAAAUCCAUGGCAAGCAUAAACAGAGAAAUAUCCAAAAUUGUCUUUGUUCUAAAGAGAAUUUUAUAAGGAAAUUGGCUUUCCUUGUAUUUUUGAUGAUCUAUCAUGGCUAUGACAAAUUAUUUUAAUGACUUUGAACCAAAUUUAACCAAACUCUGAAAGGUAGCUUUUGAAACGUUUGGGGAUUUUUUGUCAGUUUUUUUAUCGAAAGAUAUUUUUGUCACAUUAACGUUCUCAUGAAACAUCUCUAAAUUGCCAUGGAUUUACUCGAAACCAAAUUAUGCGGGUAAAAAACUUAAGCAUUUGCUUAUGAGCCAGGCACAUGUUGAAGGAUGAUUUUGAAAUGAACUCUC
Molecule: long non-coding RNA, 844 nt
Organism: Patiria miniata (bat star)
Lineage: Eukaryota; Metazoa; Echinodermata; Asteroidea; Valvatida; Asterinidae
Exons: 3
Source: RefSeq, a predicted model, not a curated record